GCGAACAUAUUAGCAGAAGUUUUCGGAUGGAAGCGGAUAUGACUUAGCGGCGGACGGGUGAGUAACGCGUGGAUAACCUGCCUCAUACAGGGGGAUAACAGUUAGAAGUGACUGCUAAUACCGCAUAAGCGCACAGGACCGCAUGGUCCGGUGUGAAAAACUCCGGUGGUAUGGGAUGGAUCCGCGUCUGAUUAGCUGGUUGGUGAGGUAACGGCCCACCAAGGCGACGAUCAGUAGCCGACCUGAGAGGGUGGCCGGCCACAUUGGGACUGAGACACGGCCCAAACUCCUACGGGAGGCAGCAGUGGGGAAUAUUGCACAAUGGGGGAAACCCUGAUGCAGCAACGCCGCGUGAGUGAAGAAGUAUUUCGGUAUGUAAAGCUCUAUCAGCAGGGAAGAAGAAAGACGGUACCUGACUAAGAAGCCCCGGCUAACUACGUGCCAGCAGCCGCGGUAAUACGUAGGGGGCAAGCGUUAUCCGGAUUUACUGGGUGUAAAGGGAGCGUAGACGGCUGUGCAAGUCUGAGGUGAAAGCCCGUGGCUCAACCGCGGGACUGCUUUGGAAACUGUAUAGCUUGAGUACUGGAGAGGCAGGCGGAAUUCCUAGUGUAGCGGUGAAAUGCGUAGAUAUUAGGAGGAACACCAGUGGCGAAGGCGGCCUGCUGGACAGAAACUGACGUUGAGGCUCGAAAGCGUGGGGAGCAAACAGGAUUAGAUACCCUGGUAGUCCACGCGGUAAACGAUGAAUGCUAGGUGUUGGGGAGCAAAGCUCUUCGGUGCCGUCGCAAACGCA
Molecule: ribosomal RNA, 793 nt
Filed under: uncultured bacterium
Lineage: Bacteria
Description: bacterial SSU rRNA
Rfam family: Bacterial small subunit ribosomal RNA
Source: RNAcentral